ACUCAAUUCAGGUAGGUCUCAUAGUAAGAAAAAGGCAUUGCUAAGGCAAGAAUGUGAUCCCAGGAAGAAGGGUGGAGACUUGGUCCAUACAACAAGGCUGAGAACUUUGACAUUCCACGUUUUCCUAAAUCUGUCUUCCACCUCACAACUCUACCAGUGCACUCAGCACUGAGAAACAUUGCCAUCUGUUCUUGUCAAGUGCAAUGGUUGGUUAAAUGCUUUCUGUAUUAAUUUCAGAUGGACCACAUUUAAUCACAAGAUCUUUCUUUAAUUUAAGUGUUGGCACAUGAAUGCACAAGUAGACCAGUCUUUUCACAUCCAGGAAUGUCAUUACCACUCAAGUUUUCCUGUGUUUCUGUGACUUCAGGAAGAAGAGAUAAUGCUGGGCAGAUAGGGAGAUGGACUCAAUGCCUAUGGAUAUUUGCUAAGAAACUUACAAAAAGGCUAUUUUUAAAUAAGGACCUAUGUGCAGGGGGUCCAUGCCUCUCCAAAGAAGGAAAAAUUCCUGAUUGAUAUUUUGAUUGGACUAAAGUUUGCAUGAAUACCUUGUGGACACUGAAUGCCUUGAACUUCCUUAAACUUAUAGAUCCAAGUAAAUCUCUAGACAAUAGCCACUCUUUGUUAUCCCUCUCUUGGGACCCCUCUGUCUCUGGGAACUCUGCUGUCCAUUACUCUAAUAUAUCCUGUUACUUUGCUCUCAUCCUUGUGUCCAUGGAUUUUAUUCUUUAAAUUCAUGAGACCAAGAACCCAACCCUGUGCUCCAUGAUAACCCUGUAGGUGGAGGCAGGAUUCCUACCUCACAGUGUACAUACCCUGUAUUCUGCUCUUCUUUUUUUUCUCUGUAAAUGAAGCCUGUGCUUACAAUAUGAUAUCACUUUCAUUAUUAUGCUUUAUUACAUGCAGUACAAUUUUUACAAAUGUCAUUAAGUCCC
Molecule: long non-coding RNA, 932 nt
Filed under: Marmota monax (woodchuck)
Lineage: Eukaryota; Metazoa; Chordata; Mammalia; Rodentia; Sciuridae
Source: RNAcentral